Melanotaenia boesemani (Boeseman's rainbowfish) is the source of this 509-nucleotide long non-coding RNA. RefSeq lists it as uncharacterized. NCBI's taxonomy places the organism in Eukaryota, Metazoa, Chordata, Actinopteri, Atheriniformes, Melanotaeniidae. The transcript has 4 exons. The record is from RefSeq and is a predicted model, not a curated record.
AAGGUUCCCAUGAACUAGAUGACAUCACCAGUGAUUGUCAAAAAAAGCUUGAUGUAGACCCGAAGCUGCUGGGAGGGAUUCUGGCUGGUCUGACUGUUUUCUUCAUGACCAUCAUCGUUGGUCUGGUUCUUCAAAUCAAGAAACUUCAGAAAGCUGAUGAAGAACAAUCUACACAACUGGGUGGGAUCCCUGACUCUGAUGAGUUGAACUACGCCACUGUGACUUUUAAUCGACAAGGAAGAAGAAGAGAGCUGGAGCCAAAUGUUGUCUAUGCUGCUACCAGAUAGACUGAAGGAGGAAACAUAACAGCAGCUCAAUGAUGAACUGAUGCUUGGACUUCUGGGAGGAGUUGUUAAUAUUAUUGGUGUCAGUGUUUUUUUGUCUGGAGACUGUGGUAUGUCUGUCAGUCUGUUAUUUUAAUAAAUAAAGUUAUUGAGAGCUUUCUGAUGCAGAUGGAGUGACGAGUGUGUCACUUGUUUAACAUAAAGGAAGUUUGGUCUGAGGUAAAA